UAGAAGAGAAAAGAAAUUUUUUAGAUUCUGAAAAUACACGAAAAUACCAUUGGUAUAAUUUGAAAGUUAUUAAGGAUUAUAAAUCUAGUAUGGAUACAUUGAAUAUUCAAACUUGGUGUAAUAAAAAUAUCCCCACAUUAAUGAAAAACUUAAUUAAUAUUAGAAAGAGCAUGCGUAGCAGGUUUAUUGAUAACAAUAAUAAAUCCAUUGAAAAUUAACCUCAUAAUAAUAAAAAAAUAUGUUAAAUUUAUUUAAUGAA
Molecule: long non-coding RNA, 259 nt
Organism: Melanaphis sacchari
Lineage: Eukaryota; Metazoa; Arthropoda; Insecta; Hemiptera; Aphididae
Exons: 3
Source: RefSeq, a predicted model, not a curated record